Molecule: ribosomal RNA, 230 nt
Filed under: uncultured soil bacterium
Lineage: Bacteria
Description: partial 16S ribosomal RNA
Rfam family: Bacterial small subunit ribosomal RNA
Source: RNAcentral
AGAUUGAACGCUGGCGGCAGGCCUAACACAUGCAAGUCGAGCGGCAGCACGGGUACUUGUACCUGGUGGCGAGCGGCGGACGGGUGAGUAAUGCCUAGGAAUCUGCCUGAUAGUGGGGGAUAACGUUCGGAAACGACGCUAAUACCGCAUACGUCCUACGGGAGAAAGUGGGGGAUCGUUCGGACCUCACGCUAUCAGAUGAGCCUAGGUCGGAUUAGCUAGUUGGUAGG